Non-coding RNA from Schizosaccharomyces pombe (fission yeast), 1372 nucleotides. The record is from the annotation of a GenBank genome assembly. NCBI's taxonomy places the organism in Eukaryota, Fungi, Ascomycota, Schizosaccharomycetes, Schizosaccharomycetales, Schizosaccharomycetaceae.
UCACCUGAAUAAAAAAUUCUUUUGAGGUGUUCCAAAUGGCUGCAGUACUUAUAUGGGUAGGUGAGGGUAACCCCAACUGUUUAGUAAACUCAUCUGGUUGGACUGGGUAUCUCUACGACAUAACUUGUUAACUAAACACUUUUUAAAUUUUAUAUAACUUACUUGUUGCUGUCUGUCCAGGUCGGCCUUGGUAGCAGCGAAAACGCAGGGAAUCUUUUGAAGAUCCGGGUAUAAAUUCUAAGAGAGAACAGAUUAGACAGAAACAAAAAUUGAUGUCUUACCAAUAAGUUUGCUAUAAAAGAAAAACUAUUAGGGUUUGAUGAAUCGUAUAGAAGACACAAAAUAUCGCAGGCUUCAAGUGACUUUGGUUCUGCCAGAAUAUCUAGAUCAGUUUCACCAAUUUCGGAGAGCUGGGACAAAAAAGGUUAAAAAGUAUUAAAUAAAUAUAUCCCAUACCACCAAAUAUCUUUGUGUGCUUUGGAAUUCAACACUAUUAACGACAGUGUUUGGGGUUAACCGAUUUGUGUUAUUGUUUAUAAAACUUGAGAGCAAAGCAGUCUAGAUGAAUGUUAAGUUAGAUAUAGUGAAUUUACAGAAAUGUAUAGAUAACUCACCUUUCCACAACUUUUCGAACCUACAACGAAGCAGAGAAAGACAUUUCUAUCAUAUUUCGAAACUUUUCGAUUUUGAGAAACUCGCUUACGCAUAACUUUUAAAGCGUCCGUAUUAUGACCACGUCCAUCAGUGUCAAACCCAAGGUACGCCAAAUAAGCCAAUGUUGUUUUAUAAUCAAAAAGAGUGAUCAUACUCCACUGAGCAAGCCAUCCGUUAUAAGUAACAUAUCCGUGUUCGUUGAGAACAGUAGAAUUUGGGAACUGAGAGCUCACCCAAAUUUCCGGAAGACCUGGGGUAUGGCGAAACAAGGCUGAAAGUUCCUCAUUGUUCAAGGCACCAUCAUUAUCUCUAUCGAAUUGAUAAAAGAGAUCUACCAAAAAUCUAUAACCUAAUUGCAUUUUACAUUAAUAAAAUAAAAAAAAAUUAUUGCUUACCCUUCGGACUCAGCUCAACGAUCUGUCCUGGUGCGACCUCGAAUUUAGGGCUCAAAUAUGAAUCGUCCAGACUAAGGCUAUCUGUGUAAUGAAAAGCUCGAAGGAUUCCCCAUGUACUUUCUUGUUUACCAUUUUCAACUUGUACACGAUUAUAAGCUAAAAACCCAGGCAAAGUCAACUGUCCUUCAUAAACGCCCUCAGGGCAUAUUUCCUUGACUUUCGAUAAAAUUUCUGAUGCAUCUUCGAUACUUAGGUUUUUCGAAAAGCAUUUUUCGGAAAGUGAAUUAAGUUCAUCAACAGAGAGUAAAUCAUCGUUAUUUUUA